Molecule: ribosomal RNA, 757 nt
Filed under: uncultured bacterium
Lineage: Bacteria
Description: bacterial SSU rRNA
Rfam family: Bacterial small subunit ribosomal RNA
Source: RNAcentral
GAUGAACGCUAGCUACAGGCUUAACACAUGCAAGUCGAGGGGCAGCAUGUCGGUUGCUUGCAACCGAUGAUGGCGACCGGCGCACGGGUGAGUAACGCGUAUCCAACCUACCCUUGUCCAUCGGAUAACCCGUCGAAAGGCGGCCUAACACGAUAUGCGGUUCUCAGCAGGCGUCUAACGAGAACGAAAUGUGAAGGAGAAGGAUGGGGAUGCGUCUGAUUAGCUUGUUGGCGGGGUAACGGCCCACCAAGGCGACGAUCAGUAGGGGUUCUGAGAGGAAGGUCCCCCACAUUGGAACUGAGACACGGUCCAAACUCCUACGGGAGGCAGCAGUGAGGAAUAUUGGUCAAUGGACGGGAGUCUGAACCAGCCAAGUAGCGUGCAGGAUGACGGCCCUAUGGGUUGUAAACUGCUUUUAUAGGGGGAUAAAGUGUGCCACGUGUGGCAUAUUGCAGGUACCCUAUGAAUAAGGACCGGCUAAUUCCGUGCCAGCAGCCGCGGUAAUACGGAAGGUCCGGGCGUUAUCCGGAUUUAUUGGGUUUAAAGGGAGCGUAGGCCGUCUUAUAAGCGUGUUGUGAAAUGUCGGGGCUCAACCUGGGCAUUGCAGCGCGAACUGUGAGACUUGAGUGCGCAGGAAGUAGGCGGAAUUCGUCGUGUAGCGGUGAAAUGCUUAGAUAUGACGAAGAACUCCGAUUGCGAAGGCAGCCUGCUGUAGCGCAACUGACGCUGAAGCUCGAAAGCGUGGGUAUCGAACAGG